GCGGAGGAAAAGAAACCAACAGGGAUUGCCCUAGUAACGGCGAGUGAAGCGGCAACAGCUCAAAUUUGAAAUCUGGCGUCUUUGGCGUCCGAGUUGUAAUUUGCAGAGGGCGCUUUGGCAUUGGCAGCGGUCCAAGUUCCUUGGAACAGGACGUCACAGAGGGUGAGAAUCCCGUACGUGGUCGCUAGCCUUUACCGUGUAAAGCCCCUUCGACGAGUCGAGUUGUUUGGGAAUGCAGCUCUAAAUGGGAGGUAAAUUUCUUCUAAAGCUAAAUACUGGCCAGAGACCGAUAGCGCACAAGUAGAGUGAUCGAAAGAUGAAAAGCACUUUGGAAAGAGAGUUAAAAAGCACGUGAAAUUGUUGAAAGGGAAGCGCUUGCAGCCAGACUUGCCUGUAGUUGCUCAUCCGGGUUUUUACCCGGUGCACUCUUCUAUAGGCAGGCCAGCAUCAGUUUGGGCGGUUGGAUAAAGGUCUCUGUCAUGUACCUCUCUUCGGGGAGAACUUAUAGGGGAGACGACAUGCAACCAGCCUGGACUGAGGUCCGCGCAUCUGCUAGGAUGCUGGCGUAAUGGCUGUAAGCGGCCCGUCUUGAAACACGGACCAAGGAGUCUAACAUCUAUGCGAGUGUUUGGGUGUCAAGCCCGAGCGCGUAAUGAAAGUGAACGGAGGUGGGAACCUUUCGGGGUGCACCAUCGACCGAUCCUGAUGUCUUCGGAUGGAUUUGAGUAAGAGCAUAGCUGUUGGGACCCGAAAGAUGGUGAACUAUGCUUGAAUAGGGUGAAGCCAGAGGAAACUCUGGUGGAGGCUCGCAGCGGUUCUGACGUGCAAAUCGAUCGUCAAA
This 841-nucleotide small RNA is filed under the name Pseudoascochyta pratensis. RNAcentral describes it as "eukaryotic LSU rRNA". It matches the Rfam family "Eukaryotic large subunit ribosomal RNA", at positions 50 to 909 of the family's 3401-position model. The record is from RNAcentral. Lineage: Eukaryota; Fungi; Ascomycota; Dothideomycetes; Pleosporales; Didymellaceae.